This 491-nucleotide ribosomal RNA is filed under the name uncultured bacterium. RNAcentral describes it as "partial 16S ribosomal RNA". It matches the Rfam family "Bacterial small subunit ribosomal RNA", at positions 29 to 507 of the family's 1533-position model. The record is from RNAcentral.
GUGCACGCUGGCGGUAGGCCUAACCCAUGCCAGUCGAACGGCAGCACAGUAAGAGCUUGCUCUUACGGGUGGCGAGUGGCGGACGGGUGAGGAAUACAUCGGAAUCUACUUUUUCGUGGGGGAUAACGUAGGGAAACUUACGCUAAUACCGCAUACGACCUACGGGUGAAAGCAGGGGAUCUUCGGACCUUGCGCGAUUGAAUGAGCCGAUGUCGGAUUAGCCAGUUGGCGGGGUAAAGGCCCACCAAGGUGACGAUCCGUAGCUGGUCUGAGAGGAUGAUCAGCCACACUGGAACUGAGACACGGUCCAGACUCCUACGGGAGGCAGCAGUGGGGAAUAUUGGACAAUGGGCGCAAGCCUGAUCCAGCCAUACCGCGUGGGUGAAGAAGGCCUUCGGGUUGUAAAGCUCUUUUGUUGGGAAAGAAAAGCAGCAGGUUAAUACCCCGCUGUUCUGACGGUACCCAAAGAAUAAGCACCGGCUAACUUCGUG